CCUACGGGUGGCUGCAGUGAGGAAUAUUGGUCAAUGGGCGUAAGCCUGAACCAGCCAAGUCGCGUGAGGGAUGACGGCUCUAUGGGUCGUAAACCUCUUUUAUCAGGGAAUAAAGAGCGGGACGUGUCCCGCCUCGUGUGUACCCGAUGAAUAAGCAUCGGCUAACUCCGUGCCAGCAGCCGCGGUAAUACGGAGGAUGCGAGCGUUAUCCGGAUUUAUUGGGUUUAAAGGGUGCGUAGGCGGCCUUUUAAGUCAGCGGUGAAAGUGUGUGGCUCAACCAUUGAAUUGCCGUUGAAACUGGGAGGCUUGAGUGUGUGAGAGGCAGGCGGAAUGCGUGGUGUAGCGGUGAAAUGCAUAGAUAUCACGCAGAACCCCGAUUGCGAAGGCAGCGUACCGGGGCAUGACUGACGCUGAUGCACGAAAGCGUGGGGAUCAAACAGGAUUAGAUACCCUUGUAGUC
RNAcentral lists this ribosomal RNA (460 nucleotides) under uncultured bacterium. RNAcentral's name for it is "partial 16S ribosomal RNA". It matches the Rfam family "Bacterial small subunit ribosomal RNA", at positions 338 to 795 of the family's 1533-position model. The record is from RNAcentral.